Molecule: non-coding RNA, 101 nt
Filed under: Jeotgalibacillus campisalis
Lineage: Bacteria; Bacillati; Bacillota; Bacilli; Caryophanales; Caryophanaceae
Description: TPP sequence
Rfam family: TPP riboswitch aptamer (THI element)
About the family: Vitamin B(1) in its active form thiamin pyrophosphate (TPP) is an essential coenzyme that is synthesised by coupling of pyrimidine and thiazole moieties in bacteria. The previously detected thiamin-regulatory element, thi box was extended, resulting in a new, highly conserved RNA secondary structure, the THI element, which is widely distributed in eubacteria and also occurs in some archaea.
Source: Rfam by way of RNAcentral
UCAUUCUGCUGGGGGAGCUUUUAAAAGCUGAGACGGAUUUUUCCGGACCCUUUGAACCUGAUCUAGUUCGCACUAGCGUAGGGAAGUGGAGGCUCUUGUCC